Molecule: ribosomal RNA, 466 nt
Filed under: Pantoea sp.
Lineage: Bacteria; Pseudomonadati; Pseudomonadota; Gammaproteobacteria; Enterobacterales; Erwiniaceae
Description: partial 16S ribosomal RNA
Source: RNAcentral
UGCAGUCGGACGGUAGCACAGAGRAGYUUGYUCCUUGKGWGACGAGUGGSGGACGGGWGAGUARUGUSUGGRGAUCUGCCCGAUAGAGGGRGAUAACCACUGRAAACGGUGGCUAAUACCGCAUAACGUCGCAAGACCAAAGAGGGGGACCUUCGGGCCUCUCACUAUCGGAUGAACCCAGAUGGGAUUAGCUAGUAGGCGGGGUAAUGGCCCACCUAGGCGACGAUCCCUAGCUGGUCUGAGAGGAUGACCAGCCACACUGGAACUGAGACACGGUCCAGACUCCUACGGGAGGCAGCAGUGGGGAAUAUUGCACAAUGGGCGCAAGCCUGAUGCAGCCAUGCCGCGUGUAUGAAGAAGGCCUUCGGGUUGUAAAGUACUUUCAGCGGGGAGGAAGGCGACGAGGUUAAUAACCCUGUCGAUUGACGUUACCCGCAGAAGAAGCACCGGCUAACUCCGUGCACGC